GCGCAUAAUAAAAUGAUGCGAGAGCGCUGCACGUAUAUCAUACCAUAAGACGCACAUACAGCACAUACACGAUGGGGAAUAAAUGUUGCCCGGCCAUCUCGGAGUAUGCGGUGAAAAAUCGUUUUACCGUCGGAAAAUGUUAUAAUCGCCAACGUCAAGAGGAGAAUAAUUUUUCAGUGUUAUAAUGCUGAAACCGGCUACGUAAUACUACCGUAUACGUCAUCGAAGAAAUUAUUCUUCGACGAGGGAAGAGAAUUCGAUCGGUGGCGUGCGUGGCGUUAUCUGGAACGCAAUAGUCGGGAAAUAUCUUAUCGAUGGCAUAUAGCGCACGAAUGUUUAUUGCCAAUGAAGUUUGAGUGUUCCGUGUGACAAGAAACAUUUCAUGCGAAUAGACUUUACACGUGGUGUGUAGUACCGCAUUCAGAAUAUUAUAACGAAUUAUCGGAUAUUACUUGAUGGACUAUGGAACAUAAUAACAUUGCUAGCCAAUUGUUCGACACCUAUAAGAUUCAUUGCGAAUCGGACAUAAGAAACAAAUAAAGUAAAUCGUUAUCUGCGAGGAAAUUUGUAACACAAUGAACAUAGAUGGUUACACAACACGGCCUCUUCCGAGUUAGGCUGACCCACAGCAAUAAAAUCCUAGGUGUAAGCCACCGACUUUGGUACAAAAAACCGGCAUUCAAAUCAAACGGAUUGACGGAGAGAAAAAAAAAAAAUACGGUGUUGGGUAAUUUUUUAAAAUGCACAUAUCUUCGACGUGGUUUCGGUGCCGCUUGAACAUCGUUACAUAACGCUCGAUUGCGCGGCGAGUGUUUUGCAAGACGAAACCGACAAGCGUACAACAGAUAAUAAUAGUAAUAAUAAUAAUAAUAAUAAUAAUAAUAAUAGCAUAAGCAAUUCGAACAAUAGGCUCGAACCAUAACGUGUAUUAAAAUGCGAUAUUAUGUAUUAAAAUGCGAUAUUAUGUAUUAAAAUGAACUCUUCGACGCAUACGCGUGUACACAAGACACACGUAAGUUGACCGACAACGAUUUGUUUAUUGACGACGAUGACUUAAUAAAUAUAAUAUUGUUCGUGUAAAUACAACGUCUAUCGUGUGAGCGCGUUCGUGUUUCUUUACCGAUCACACGCGUGCACCAGGGGUGGAUCCAGACCAAGAUAACGUAGGGGGGGGGCGAUU
Long non-coding RNA from Sipha flava (yellow sugarcane aphid), 1180 nucleotides. RefSeq lists it as uncharacterized. The record is from RefSeq and is a predicted model, not a curated record. The transcript is spliced from 3 exons. NCBI's taxonomy places the organism in Eukaryota, Metazoa, Arthropoda, Insecta, Hemiptera, Aphididae.